UACGUAGGUGGCAAGCGUUGUCCGGAUUUACUGGGCGUAAAGAGCGCGCAGGCGGUCGUUCAAGUCGCGUGUGAAAGCCCCCGGCUCAACUGGGGAGGGUCACGCGAUACUGAUCGACUGGAAGGCAGGAGAGGGUAGUGGAAUUCCCGGUGUAGUGGUGAAAUGCGUAGAUAUCGGGAGGAACACCAGUGGCGAAGGCGGCUACCUGGCCCACUCUUGACGCUGAGGCGCGAAAGCUAGGGGAGCAAACGGG
This 253-nucleotide ribosomal RNA is filed under the name uncultured bacterium. Its description in RNAcentral is "partial 16S ribosomal RNA". It matches the Rfam family "Bacterial small subunit ribosomal RNA", at positions 524 to 776 of the family's 1533-position model. The record is from RNAcentral.